Molecule: long non-coding RNA, 547 nt
Organism: Neltuma alba
Lineage: Eukaryota; Viridiplantae; Streptophyta; Magnoliopsida; Fabales; Fabaceae
Exons: 2
Source: RefSeq, a predicted model, not a curated record
CGUCCUUGGCAUUCUACGCUACGGUUACAAUGAUUGCUUCAAAGUAUAGCAAUGGCGAUCUCUGCACCUACUUCAGAUUCCUAGCGACACUUUUCUACAGAUAUCUACGGGGGUCUGAAAUUGAUUAUCGGUGCGGUAAAAAAUGCAGAUAUACCUCAACAUGAAGGCCGCUCAACAAUUCUGUCAGGCAAGGAAUUUCGUCUCGCACCCUCUUUUUUAAGCCCUUCAAGUACUGAGGUAUGAAUCAGCAAAAAUAAACAGAUGAGUUGGGAAUUGAGAUAGAAUCUGACAUAGGAGAUGCCUGUUCUAUUACCGACACUUAAGAUCCAUAUAUAAGUAAAUGUUCCUUCACUAAGUUGAGGGGAUAUGGGUUAUUUCUACUUUCAUGUUUGAAUAAAUAGAUGCAUACAUCCUUCGUCCCAAACUACUGCAAACUUGAAGAAUGCAUAUGGCAUCUAUGAUGAGUAUAAUGGUAAGCUUGAGUGAUAAAUGACACGUGCAAAAUUCUAAAAGAAAAAGAAACAUAUGAAAUGUCUGAAUUGUGAAA